GGUGCUAGUAUUGCAGCUACCGCUUGUGAUAGUGAAUGUGUAGGAGAAAGGUAAAGGCAUAGAUGUGUUGAAGGCAUCCAUGAGAAACUGAUUUGUUUUUGAUUGGAUGCAACAGCGGAAACUAGUCCGUUCUUUUGUUUUUUCUCUGCAGAAAUAGAACAGAGAUUAGGAUUUAGAUGUUUUCAUGAAGAAAGGGUUUGUAUUCUGUCGUUGUACAUUGUUCUUUCAACUUUCAAUCGAGUUAAAAAGGAGGCUUGAGUUUUCUAUUUCUAGAACAGUUAAGUAGGAAAAUGUGGUUGAUUUUGAGGCGAAUGGAAAAGAUGGGUUUCCAGGAGAAAGCAAGCAGCUGCUUCUUAAAGCUUACUAGGGAGAGGAUUGUUUACUCCAUUUGAGCCUUGAAGUGUUAAAU
This 409-nucleotide long non-coding RNA is filed under the name Gossypium barbadense (sea-island cotton). RNAcentral describes it as "long non-coding RNA (GBAR_LNC000421)". The record is from RNAcentral. Lineage: Eukaryota; Viridiplantae; Streptophyta; Magnoliopsida; Malvales; Malvaceae.